AUAACAAUACAGGACUCUUUCAAGGCUCUGUAAUUGGAAUGAGUUCACUUUAAAUCCUUUAACGAGGAUCUAUUUGGAGGGCAACUCUGGUGCAGAGCGACUGACCCGUGCGUGCUGCAGCUGAAGCUCCAC
Molecule: non-coding RNA, 132 nt
Organism: Pelobates cultripes (western spadefoot toad)
Lineage: Eukaryota; Metazoa; Chordata; Amphibia; Anura; Pelobatidae
Source: the annotation of a GenBank genome assembly